RNAcentral lists this long non-coding RNA (843 nucleotides) under Homo sapiens (human). RNAcentral describes it as "HSALNT0196046". Lineage: Eukaryota; Metazoa; Chordata; Mammalia; Primates; Hominidae. The record is from RNAcentral.
GUAGAAACUGGGUUUCACCAUGUUAGCCAGGAUGGUCUACGAUCUCCCGACCUCGUGAUCCACCCACCUUGGCCUACCCAAAGUGCUGAGAUUACAGGGUGAGCCACCGCGCCCGGCCAGAUGAUGACUUUUAAGUGAAGACCUUAAGAAGGUGAUGGGGGAUGCCAAGGUGAUAUCUGAGAAGAGCAUUCCAGGCAGAGAGGAUGUCACAUGCAAAGGCCCUGAGAAUGUUCUUUGUUGGUGUAUAGAACUGCUACUAGCCUGGGCAACAUGGUGAGACCCCAUCUUAUCUCUACAACAUUUAAAAAAAAUCUAGCCAGGUAUGCACCUGUGGUCCCAGCUACUUGGGAGGCUGAAGUGAGAGGAUCGCUUAGGUCCAAGAGAUCAAGGCUGCAGUGAGCCAUGUUCGUGCCACUGCACUCCAGCCUGGGCAACCCAGUGAGACUGUCUAAAAAAAAAUUAGAAAUGCCACUGAUUUUUGUAUGUUGAUUUUGUAUUCUGCAACUUUACUAAUUUGUUUAUCAGUUCUAACAGUUUUUUCGUAGAGUUUUUAGAUUUUUCCAGGUAUAAGACGUGUCAUCUGUGAACAAGGCUUAUUUGACUUCUUCCUUUCAAAUUUGGAUGCCCUUUAUUUCUUGUUCUUGCCUAAUUGCUCUGUCCAGGACUUCCAGUAUUAUGUUGAAUAAAGUGGUGAAAGUGAGCAUCCUUGUCUUAUUCCAGUUCUUAGAGGAAAGACCUUCCAUUUAUCCUCAUUCAGUACAAUGUUAGCUAUGGGUUUGUCAUACAUGGCUUUCAUUUUUUUUGAGCUAUGUUAUUUCUAUAACCAUUUUGAUGAGGGUUUUU